This 253-nucleotide ribosomal RNA is filed under the name uncultured bacterium. RNAcentral's name for it is "partial 16S ribosomal RNA". It matches the Rfam family "Bacterial small subunit ribosomal RNA", at positions 524 to 776 of the family's 1533-position model. The record is from RNAcentral.
GACAGAGGAGGCAAGCGUUAUCCGGAAUUAUUGGGCGUAAAGCGUUCGUAGGUGGUUUGACAAGUCUGGGGUUAAAGCCCGGAGCCCAACUCCGGAUCGGCCCUGGAAACUGUCAGACUUGAGUAAGGUAGGGGUUGCGGGAAUUCCAGGUGUAGCGGUGAAAUGCGUAGAUAUCGGGAAGAACACCAGCGGCGAAAGCGCGCAACUGGGCCAUUACUGACACUGAGGGAAGAAAGCUAGGGGAGCGAAUGGG